Molecule: long non-coding RNA, 564 nt
Organism: Cynoglossus semilaevis (tongue sole)
Lineage: Eukaryota; Metazoa; Chordata; Actinopteri; Pleuronectiformes; Cynoglossidae
Exons: 4
Source: RefSeq, a predicted model, not a curated record
CAGCACGAUGGGAUCAAUGCUGGUGAACUUGGUCUCCUCCCUGUACAAAUACUCUAUGGAGCACUUCAGCAGCAGGAUCUUUGGGUUCUUGAUGUGAGCGUUCAUCUUUACACAGUGACAGUGAGGAAAAGUUGCGGACGUCAGGCCUCACCGUCUGAACCACCUGUCGAACCACAGGCACGAUGAUGUCCCGCCAGGACAGAGACAGAGACUCACUGUAGAGCAGCUGCUGCAGCAGUGCCAUCAUGUGGCUGUGGUUGGCAGAGCUGAUGGACGUACAAUCAUAUUUAAGCUGGUCCAAAGAGCUGUGGUGCCAACCCAGAGGAGUGAACAGCAUCUCUUUGGCCUUUUCUUCCACACGUCGGUUAAACAAAGACUCUAAAAAAAAAUAGUAACACCCAAAAGAGGAAGAAGUCCUUUAGCAACAAGGUUGAUGGACGCGGCUGAAUCGCUGUCCACCACCGACUGGAAGCUGCUGACGGACGUCCUCUUGCUGGGGCUGGCAGAGUCUAGGCAGACAGACAGGAGUUUGACUUAAACCACUGCAGCGCGACUGUGUGAAAG